UGUUUUGGGGAGUGGGACUGGAUCUGGCUGUGCCAGACCAUCAGGCUCUCCUGGGGACAGCUCUUCAGUUUGCAGCUUUUCUGCUCCCAUCAGAGCAGCUCUGGCAGUGUGCGACAUCACAGUGGCUGGAUGGCUUCGGGAUCAGUGGCACUUGACAAGCUUUGAUAUUUGAAUCAGUAUCCAGGUGUAAUGCUUGAGCCUGCAGGAAACUGCUGGGCUACCGGUGAGCAGAGUGAGCUGUUGGUUGUGCUGUAGCUUGGCUCCCAGAAGCUCACUGCUGCUGAGGCCAUUGGUGCAGCUGUGAUGCUGUCAGUGCAGCCAUCCCGCCAGCUCCCAGCUCUGUCAUGGUGUUGAGCUGGUGCCCUCAGCCCCUCGCCAUGCUGCAACACCCUGAAAUGUCUCUGCCCUCACUCUGCCGGCAGUGCAUGUGGAGCCUCAGAACUCUUGCGCAAGGGAAAGAAAAAGAAGGAAAAGAAAAUUUAAAAAGCUGGCUAAGUCGGGACUGUGCUCUCUGCCUGCAUCAGGUGUACUUCAGCCUCAGCUGCACUAUGGCCAUGGAUUUCAGCAAGUGAAACAAGGAACAGAGGGGAAGCAGCUUCUCAGUACCCUGGGAACACAGGCCCACCUGAUCAAGGGGGACUCAGUGAUGAAAAAUGGCCCAUUCUCCAGGAGUUUCCUGGUGUUCCCUCCUCCUCUCCAGGCUCCAGUCGGCUCCUCCAGCUGCCCAGCUCUGUGGAUCUCCUCUGAUUUCUGAAAUCCUUACAGAUGAAGCCUGGGAGAUAGAGCUGAGCAACAAGGGGGUUGCUGCAAGUAUCAGAAGUUAAUAUAUUCCACUUUUUUCAUCUUCCUGGGGUACAGUUGCUGCAGCAAUCGCUGUGGGGAUGGCAGUGGGUGACCAGCCUGUCCUGCCUGAGCAGCUCAGCUUUUUCCGGGGCAGAAGCUGAAAGCCUGGGCUCAGGCUCGGGUGCAGGGCAAGCAUCCUUCUGUCUGGGGAUUUCCUCUCCCAGUGGGGCAGGGCUGCAGCGAGUGGAUCUUCACCAGAGGAUGCAGAUCAGAGCAGACCAGCCCCACUGGUCUGUGCAAAAACAUCUGUAAAAACUGAUCUGUUAACAAGCUGUGAAACAAGACAGACAGACAGGCAGCUGGCAGCCUGUCCUCUGAAAGGAAGGACACGUUCCGUCAGCAGAAAAGUGCUGCUUUCUGCAAAGCAUUUCUCCUUAUUUCAUCCAGGCUCAUGCAGACAGAGUUACCCAGGUGCUGAGUUGGACUCAGGACUGUGGAGCAGCUGAGGCACUCAGAUCAUGCAGGUCCCCUUCAUGUAUCCCAUCUAG
Molecule: long non-coding RNA, 1331 nt
Organism: Columba livia (rock pigeon)
Lineage: Eukaryota; Metazoa; Chordata; Aves; Columbiformes; Columbidae
Exons: 3
Source: RefSeq, a predicted model, not a curated record